This 2138-nucleotide long non-coding RNA is filed under the name Nicotiana benthamiana. RNAcentral's name for it is "long non-coding RNA (NBEN_LNC024699)". The record is from RNAcentral. Lineage: Eukaryota; Viridiplantae; Streptophyta; Magnoliopsida; Solanales; Solanaceae.
UUUGAUUUUAAAAUUCAAUACAAGAAGGUAAAAGAUAAUGUGGCUGACGAUUCUUUAACAAGAAUUUCAGGUGUUGAACUAGUGACCUUAAUGGUCUUCUCAGUGCAAGCUAAUCUUUGGACGGACAUCUCGAAUAGUUGGACUAACGACCCUGAGCUACAUACUCUCAUCAAAUCCCUAUAGGAGAAGCCACAGAAGCACUUUACCUAGAUAAAUAAUCAACUUCGAAGGAAAGAUAAAUUGGUCAUAGGAAAUGAUGUGAGCUUAAGAACUAAGAAAUUGCAGCUGUAGCAUUCCUCUCCCUAUGGUGGUCACUCUGGCAUUGAUGCCACCACUAGGAAGUUAUUGGCUUAUCUCUAUUGGAAAGGUAUCCGGACUGAUGUACUUGCCUAUGUACGCAAUUGUUCUGUGUGCCAAAGGAGUAAAUAUGAUACUACUGCUGUGCUGGGUUGUUGCAACCUUUGCCUCUACCUACAGUCCCAUGGACGGAUAUAAAUAGGGAUUUUACUGAAGGCUUGCCAAAAUCUUAGGGAAGAUUCGUGAUUUGAGUUGUGGUUGAUAGGUUGACCAAAUAUGGCCACUUCAUUGCUCCCGCUCACCCUUACACCACCCAAUCCCUGAUCCCUAUAUCCCUCGAUCUCAUCUUCAAGUCACAUCGAUUCUCUGCUAUUAUAGCCAGUGAUCAUGACCCCAUCUUUAUUAGUGAUUUUUGAAGGAGUUUCUGUCUGCUAUGGGUGUCACUUUACGCACAUCCACAGCUUAUCAUAUUCAGACUGAUGGUCAAACAGAGGUCCUUAAUAGAUCCUUGGAGUCCCACUUGUGCUGCUUUUGUUAUGAUUCUCCAGCUGAUUGAUGUUCCUUCCUGUCUUUAGCUGAAUGGUGGUAUAACUCCUUCCCUCAGUCCACAAUUCAAACCUUAUCCUUUGAAUUGCUUUAUGGUUACCCUCCUCCUCUUCAUCUCCCUUAUAUUCCUGGUGAUUCUUCUUUUGAUUCGAUUGAGAACAUUAUGCUGCUUCGAGAAUUUUAAAUGCAAUUGGCUAAAUAUCAUUUAGCUCAGGAUCAGGCAAAUGCUCAUCGCACUUACAAAUAUUUUACAGUAGGUGAUUGGUUCUUUGUGAAGCUACAAUCAUAUAAGCAGUCCACCCUAUCUGUCUCCCCUAUCAUAAGCUCACUUCCCGUUAUUUUGGUCCUUACCCCAUUGUCGGAAAAGAUAGGUGCAAUUGCUUAUAAGUUGAUGCUUCCUCCUGAAGUCCAAAUUUAUCCUACUUUCCAUAUUUCUCAACCUAAAUUGCGUCAUAUCAUUCCUUUUGAAAUAAUACAUCCACCUAUCUUGGAUCCCUCCGGUCCUUUAUGCCCUGCUCAUGAGGCUGUUAUUGGUCACAAAUUGGUCAAGAAAGGCAACAAAGCAGUAGCACAAUGUUUGAUUAAAUGGAAGGGUUUGGAUGUUGCUUAUGCCACUUGGGAGUUCGCUUCACUCGUGAAAACCAGAUUUCUUCCAUUUACCCUUAGGACAAGGGUGUUGUUCAUCGAGGGAGGGUCGGUAUUGAUACACAUAAUUCAGAGAUCUCAGACGUGGACGCCACUUCAACUACUGAGUAGGAUAAUCUGAAUAUCUGUUACUUUUUACAGUUAGAAUGUAAUUUCAACAUAUUUUGCAUUUUAGUAGAUAGUUUAGGAGUAUAAGUAGCAAGUUGCAAACUCUUAUUACAUACUUUUGACAUGCUAAAAAGUUUAUGGUCUUCUCUCUAACUCCUUCUAGUCUCUCUUCUUCCUACUCCUUCUCAUUUUUCUCCUUAUCUACUGCUUCAUUGCUGAAUCGAUACCAAUUUUAGUAUCAUAUACUAAAGGAAAAAGCUACGACAUUGAGAAGCAAUAUGUGUGCCCACAUAGAGAGUUAGAUUGUUACCUGGAAGACAGAAAGAGACGACGCCAACAAAUGUUCUAUGGGGGAGAAGAGCAGGGAAUUCUUUUAUGGUGCUAAAUCAAUUAGGCUAUACGAAGAACCCUAAAUCUAAAUCGUUUCACUUAAAUUACUUUAUUGACCCUUGACCCAUCCGAUCCGCCUCAUUUGAAAAGACCUGGUAAGAAUUUCUAUUAUGAGGACUUUAACAAGGGAAAAUUAUAGUAGAUGGUCCUUC